This 474-nucleotide ribosomal RNA is filed under the name uncultured bacterium. Its description in RNAcentral is "bacterial SSU rRNA". It matches the Rfam family "Bacterial small subunit ribosomal RNA", at positions 24 to 518 of the family's 1533-position model. The record is from RNAcentral.
UCAGGACGAACGCUGGCGGCGUGCUUCAUACAUGCAAGUCGAACGAUAAGGUCUCUUCGGAGAUACAUAAGUGGCGGACGGGUGGAGUAAUAUGUAGAGAAUCUGCCCUAGAGAGGGGGAGAACAGAGGGAAACUUCUGCUAAUACCCCAUAUGAGCGUAGUUGAAAUGCUAUUCUUGAAAACUCCGGUGCUCUGGGAUGAGUCUGCAUCUGAUUAGCUAGUUGGGGGUGUAAUGGACCACCAAGGCGACGAUCAGUAGCUGGUUUGAGAGGAUGAUCAGCCACAAUGGGACUGAGACACGGCCCAUACUCCUACGGGAGGCAGCAGUAGGGAAUUUUGCGCAAUGGGGGAAACCCUGACGCAGCAACACCGCGUGAAUGUUAAGCCCUUCGGGGUGUAAAGUUCUGUCAGUAGGGAAGAACAAAUGACUGUACCUACAAAGGAAGCACCGGCUAACUCCGUGCCAGCCGCCGC